This 223-nucleotide ribosomal RNA is filed under the name uncultured bacterium. RNAcentral describes it as "partial 16S ribosomal RNA". It matches the Rfam family "Bacterial small subunit ribosomal RNA", at positions 113 to 334 of the family's 1533-position model. The record is from RNAcentral.
CGACGUGGAUAACCUGCCUCACACUGGGGGAUAACAGUUAGAAAUGACUGCUAAUACCGCAUAAGCCCACAGCUCGGCAUCGAGCAGAGGGAAAAGGAGUGAUCCGCUUUGAGAUGGCCUCGCGUCCGAUUAGCUAGUUGGUGAGGUAACGGCCCACCAAGGCAACGAUCGGUAGCCGGACUGAGAGGUUGAACGGCCACAUUGGGACUGAGACACGGCCCAG